This 253-nucleotide ribosomal RNA is filed under the name uncultured bacterium. RNAcentral's name for it is "partial 16S ribosomal RNA". It matches the Rfam family "Bacterial small subunit ribosomal RNA", at positions 524 to 776 of the family's 1533-position model. The record is from RNAcentral.
UACGUAGGGCGCAAGCGUUGUCCGGAAUUAUUGGGCGUAAAGAGCUCGUAGGCGGUCUGUCACGUCUGCUGUGAAAACCCGGGGCUUAACCCCGGGCUUGCAGUGGAUACGGGCAGACUAGAGGCAGGUAGGGGAGAAUGGAAUUCCCGGUGUAGCGGUGAAAUGCGCAGAUAUCGGGAGGAACACCGGUGGCGAAGGCGGUUCUCUGGGUAGUAACUGACGCUGAGGAACGAAAGUGUGGGUAGCGAACAGG